AGAAUCAACGCUGGCGGCGUGCCUCAGACAUGCAAGUCGAACGAUUAAAGCUCUCUUCGGAGAGUGUAUAGAGUGGCGCACGGGUGAGUAACACGUAAGUAAUCUACCUUUGAGUGGGGAAUAACAGUCGGAAACGACUGCUAAUACCGCAUAAUGCAGCGGCAUCGCAAGAUGACAGUUGUUAAAGGAGCAAUCCGCUUAAAGAGGAGCUUGCGGCAGAUUAGCUAGUUGGUAAGGUAAUGGCUUACCAAGGCUACGAUCUGUAACCGGUCUAAGAGGACGGUCGGUCACACUGACACUGAAUAACGGGUCAGACUCCUACGGGAGGCAGCAGUCGGGAAUUUUGGGCAAUGGGCGAAAGCCUAGACCCAGCAACGCCGCGUGAAGGAUGAAGUAUUCGGUAUGUAAACUUCGAAAGAAUAGGAAGAAUAAAUAGACGUAACUAUUAAUAAGGUCCGACUAACUACGUGCCAGCAGCCGCGUAAUCGUGAG
This 492-nucleotide ribosomal RNA is filed under the name uncultured soil bacterium. RNAcentral's name for it is "bacterial SSU rRNA". It matches the Rfam family "Bacterial small subunit ribosomal RNA", at positions 26 to 531 of the family's 1533-position model. The record is from RNAcentral.